Chrysemys picta bellii (western painted turtle) is the source of this 4015-nucleotide non-coding RNA. The record is from RefSeq and is a predicted model, not a curated record. NCBI's taxonomy places the organism in Eukaryota, Metazoa, Chordata, Testudines, Emydidae.
CAGCGCCUGCGCACUGAGGCUGGGCAGGUCACGUGAGGGAGGGGCCCGGCUCCCUCAGCCGCAGGGCGGGCAGGCGGGAGGCCGAGCUGAGGGCGGAGCCGCCGGCGCCCCGACCCCCUGGGCGAACAUGGCCGGGGCUGCGGCCGGGACCUGCUCCCCGGGGCGCUGGGGAGCCUCCCCGCUCCGGGCGGGCGCCGGGAGAGCCGAGGCCAUGGACGAGCAGAGCGUGGAGAGCAUUGCUGAGGUGUUCCGAUGUUUUAUUUGUAUGGAAAAGUUGCGUGAUGCACGUCUGUGUCCACAUUGCUCCAAGCUAUGUUGUUUCAGUUGCAUUCGGCGUUGGCUGACUGAACAAAGAGCUCAGUGCCCUCACUGUCGAGCCCCACUCCAGCUACGGGAACUUGUAAACUGUCGUUGGGCAGAAGAGGUUACGCAGCAGCUUGACACACUUCAGCUAUGCAAUCUCACUAAGCAUGAAGAAAAUGAAAAAGACAAGUGUGAAAACCAUCAUGAAAAACUCAGUGUAUUCUGCUGGACAUGUAAGAAAUGUAUCUGUCACCAGUGUGCUCUCUGGGGAGGAAUGCAUGGAGGACAUACUUUUAAGCCACUAGCUGAAAUUUAUGAGCAACAUGUCACAAAAGUGAAUGAGGAGGUAGCAAAACUUCGGAGGCGACUCAUGGAGUUGAUCAGUCUAGUGCAAGAAGUGGAGAGGAAUGUAGAGGCAGUGCGCAGCGCAAAGGAUGAACGAGUUCGGGAAAUUAGGAAUGCAGUGGAGAUGAUGAUUGCCCGAUUAGACACUCAACUGAAGAACAAGCUUAUAACACUAAUGGGUCAAAAGACAUCACUCACCCAAGAAACUGAACUUCUGGAGUCCUUGCUACAGGAAGUAGAACACCAGCUACGAUCAUGCAGUAAGAGUGAGUUGAUAUCUAAAAGCUCGGAGAUUCUGAUGAUGUUUCAGCAGGUUCACCGGAAGCCUAUGGCAUCCUUUGUCACUACUCCUGUCCCUCCAGACUUCACAAGUGAAUUAGUACCAGCCUAUGACUCAACCACCUUUGUCUUGGAAAACUUCAGCACUUUGCGCCAACGGGCGGAUCCUGUGUACAGUCCACCUCUUCAAGUGUCAGGGCUUUGCUGGCGACUAAAGGUUUAUCCAGAUGGAAAUGGAGUUGUGCGUGGUUACUACUUGUCUGUGUUUCUGGAGCUCUCAGCUGGAUUGCCAGAAACAUCCAAGUAUGAGUAUCGUGUGGAGAUGGUUCACCAGUCCACCAAUGAUCCUGCUAAAAAUAUAAUUCGAGAGUUUGCCUCUGACUUUGAAGUUGGAGAAUGCUGGGGUUAUAACAGAUUCUUUCGAUUGGACUUGCUUGCCAAUGAAGGGUAUUUGAACAGACAAAAUGACACUGUAAUUCUUAGGUUCCAGGUGCGUUCACCUACCUUCUUCCAAAAGUGUCGGGACCAACACUGGUACAUUACUCAGUUGGAAGCUGCUCAGACAAGCUACAUCCAACAAAUAAACAACCUUAAAGAGAGACUUGCAAUUGAGCUUUCCCGUACCCAAAAAUCACGAGGCAUGUCACCUCCAGACACUCAUCUUAGCCCCCAGAAUGAUGAUGGUCCAGAAACAAGACCAAAGAAAUCUGGACCGAAUCCUGAAGUACUACUUGAGAGUGUCACCACUCCAGCAUUAGCGAGAGAUGCCAAGGAUGAUGAUGAGGAGAAAAUCCAGCAUGAAGAUUUUAAUUAUGAGCUCUCGGAUGGUGAUCUGGAUGUAGACCUUGCUGGAGAAGAUGAGGUAAACCACCUAGAUGGCAGCAGCUCCUCUGCUAGUUCAACAGCUACUAGUAACACUGAAGAGAAUGAUAUUGAUGAAGAGACUAUGUCUGGAGAAAAUGAUGUGGAAUAUAAUAGUAAUAUGGAACUAGAAGAAGGAGAUCUCCAGGAUGAUGCUGCUGCUGCUGGUGGAGCAUCAGGUAGUAGCCAUGGCUAUCCCAAUGCAAGUGGCAGAUCUUCAAGGCGGGGAGGAAGUACUUUAGGCUCAGCAGCCAGCAGCAGUUUACUAGACAUAGAUCCCUUAAUUUUAAUCCAUUUAUUGGACCUAAAAGACAGGAAUGGGAUGGAAAAUCUGUGGGGUCUACAGCCACGUCCUCCUGCCUCACUUCUGCAGAACAGAGCAUCAUCCUACUCUCUAAAAGACCGAGACCAGCGGAGGCACCAGGCAAUGUGGCGUGUGCCACCUGACUUAAAGAUGCUGAAGAGACUCAAAACUCAGAUGGCUGAAGUUCGAAGCAAAAUGUCUGAUGUAAAAAACCAGCUGUCAGAAGUAAGAAGCAGCAAUGCUGGCUCUUGUGAGGGGCAACCCAGCUUCCUCCCUGGUGAUCAGGGGCCUUUGGCUGCGUGUGGAACAGAAAGCUGCAGCAAGUUACAAGAAAUAGGAAUGGAGUUGCUGACAAAAUCAUCAAUUACAAGCUGUUACAUAAAGAGUUUCACAAGUAAGAAAAGUAAUUCGCCCAAAGCUACUCGUUCUGGAGCAGCAGGGAGCCUGUCUCUUCGAAGAGCAAUGGACUGUGGGGACAAUAACCUUCGCUCAAAGGGAGACUGUCAGACUUCCUCUGAAGGUUGCAUAGGAAGCUCAAAGUCUGGCAGUAGGCAUGGCUCUUCCAGGUCCCUGACUAAUGGUAAUGCUCCUGAUGCACUACCUAAGCCAGAGGAAAGGGAGUGCGAAGGCUCAGAUUCUGAUGUGGGCGUUUCUGCUUUAAAUGGCUUAACAACUAUGGAGAAGACAAGAAAAGCUGUCGCUCUGGGGUCAGAUUCUAAAGGAUGUCAUACAGAAGGAACACGACCAACUGAUCAAGAGAACAACUCGGAAACUGGGGAGCUACAGGCCAUUCUCUCUGAGGGCACUUCAGCAGAGCCAGAGGAAGCCCGAGAAUUUGACGUUGGUGCGUCUUGGGAAAGAAAGGAAGCUGAGAACUUUGUGGCUACAGGAAUCUCACUGCAGCAGGUUCUCCUUUGCUCUUUGCAGCUGGGCUAUGUCAGAAGCACGUCCUUCACCUCCUGCCAGGCAUGAGCAGCGAUAGCGACAUUGAAUGUGACACAGAAAACGAAGAGCAGGAGGAUGCCACAUCCACCUCAGAUGCGUUUAAUCAUGCCUUCGAUGUCCAGCCCUCAAGUGAAGUAUUAGAGCUGUGUUCAGUUUUUUCUGAAGGUGAUCAAAUAGGCCCUGAAGACCUCAGCUUUGGUACUGGAGAGGACAAUACAAGGUAGAGGAUUGGCUUGUUGACUGCAGAAGACUUUGAAGAGUUGGAUUAACACUAGCCUGCUUGUGUCCCUGAGAAGAGGCACACUUCAUAAUGCUUAUUUAUUCCAUCUGUAUUUUUCUCGUAGGGUGUGCACAUUCCAUUGUGCUGAAUAUAAAAGAUUAUGUAGUUCUUCCAUGGCUGUUUUAAACCUGUUAAUAGGGCAAGUUGCCCUAUGAAAAACCUUAGCAAGACUGUAUUUUUCAUGGCUUUGGCAGGUUCAAAUGCAGAUUCUGAACAAAUGUUCAAAAGGUGCUAGAGCCUUGUUCAUAUUUGUCUCCUUACGAUUGAUACAGCAGAGAAUGUGGGGGAAGAUCCUUCCCUUUUUAUUAUUAAUAGUAUGAAAUAACAUUGUAGUUGUAUUCAUAGGGAUCUAAGCUAUUUAAAGUUAGGGUGAAAGUGACCUGCACAAGAGUUAGUUCAUAUUUGUGUUCUUCAGUCUCUAAUUUGGACCAACUGAGAACAUCGUUGCCAAACUUUUUACCACUGUGCAUUGCAUUUGAGCAGCUAAGAUGUUUUGUGAAGCAAUAAUGAAAGCUGAAUCACUGGCUGGUGAAAACGCAUGAAUAAGUGUAUAAAUGUUAGGUGAGUUCUUCUCAUCUGACUGUACUUGCUGAAACAUUCGUUUUGUAUGUAAUGUUCCCCAGUGUUUAAGUGCGUACAAAUCAUAUCGUUUAGUUUAAAACUGUUUGCACUUUUUGUUAAUAAAAUGAAGAUUGAAA